Non-coding RNA from Gossypium raimondii (Peruvian cotton), 106 nucleotides. Lineage: Eukaryota; Viridiplantae; Streptophyta; Magnoliopsida; Malvales; Malvaceae. The record is from Rfam.
ACUUGGUGAUGAGGAAACUACUUUCGCAUGUCAUUGAGACAUCCCUAUGACUCAUAUAAGAUUUCUUUAUCAUAUUGUCGAAAACGAUGAUGUCAUUGCACAACUU